UACGGAGGGAGCUAGCGUUGUUCGGAAUUACUGGGCGUAAAGCGCACGUAGGCGGCUUUGUAAGUUAGAGGUGAAGGCCCGGGGCUCAACCCCGGAAUUGCCUUUAAGACUGCAUCGCUUGAAUCCGGGAGAGGUGAGUGGAAUUCCGAGUGUAGAGGUGAAAUUCGUAGAUAUUCGGAAGAACACCAGUGGCGAAGGCGGCUCACUGGACCGGUAUUGACGCUGAGGUGCGAAAGCGUGGGGAGCAAACAGG
RNAcentral lists this ribosomal RNA (253 nucleotides) under uncultured bacterium. RNAcentral describes it as "partial 16S ribosomal RNA". It matches the Rfam family "Bacterial small subunit ribosomal RNA", at positions 524 to 776 of the family's 1533-position model. The record is from RNAcentral.